This 206-nucleotide long non-coding RNA is filed under the name Malus domestica (apple). Its description in RNAcentral is "long non-coding RNA (MDOM_LNC012305)". The record is from RNAcentral. Lineage: Eukaryota; Viridiplantae; Streptophyta; Magnoliopsida; Rosales; Rosaceae.
UCAGUAGUUUCAGGAUUGGUCAAGUAUGGUACAAAUAGUGCUCCCUUAAGUUCCCGAGUGAGGGAAGUUCCUCGGUUGGGGACUUGCAAGAUCUAAGCCAUUGAGUAAUCAAGAAACUUUUAAGUACCGAAGUGUGCUAUCAUUUUCACUUGCCUUAUCUGUCUCAUAUGUAGAUGUGGCAUCUUCUCUGGAAGUACUUUUCCUCC